CCGAAGUGGGAAACAAUAACCAUUCGAUCAGGCCAUGGUCGGUCAAAGUUUGGAGCUUGGAGGGUCUAUGCAGCACCAGAUGUGGGACGGACACUGCCAGGUGGGUCUUUGGUCAGGGACAUGGAAACAUCAUUUGAGGUAUUGUCUGUAAAUGGUCAAUUGAAGUCCAAGCAACCAGUUAAGCAGGGAAAAGAUGAUGAGAAUAUCAUAGUAGUUGAAGAGAAAUCUUUUAUUGAGGAUAAUGGAACGAAAGAUGUAGUUUUGGCGAGAGCAUACCCUCGGAGUGGUAGGACGCAUCAAAUCCGCUUGCAUUGCCAGUAUCUUGGGAUUCCCAUAAGAGGUGAUGUGAAGUAUGAGGGUGUGUAUGAGGGGGAAGGGCAAAUAUAUGACUACCACACUCUUCAUGCGGAGAGCUUGUCCUUUGAGCACCCAGUAACCGGUGUGCCCCUGAUGUUUCGGGCACCUCUACCUGCGUGGGUUGCUGAGUGCUGCCCUAAUGAGAUCCCACCUGCUUUUUCUUCAAAUGAAAGUCAUGUUAGAUGAUUUCUUAACAAGAGAAAAACGAUUAUUUUUUUUAAUUGCACCUGCAAUGGUAUGUUAGCCAAAGCAAAGAAUUAAGCAACUUGAUUA
Molecule: long non-coding RNA, 630 nt
Filed under: Eucalyptus grandis
Lineage: Eukaryota; Viridiplantae; Streptophyta; Magnoliopsida; Myrtales; Myrtaceae
Description: long non-coding RNA (EGRA_LNC006706)
Source: RNAcentral